Molecule: long non-coding RNA, 2223 nt
Organism: Zalophus californianus (California sea lion)
Lineage: Eukaryota; Metazoa; Chordata; Mammalia; Carnivora; Otariidae
Exons: 6
Source: RefSeq, a predicted model, not a curated record
ACUCUCGAGAAGAGCCGACCAUGAAGGUCCCAGCGUGUGGGAAGAUUCGCGGGCGUGAGCGGAUGUUGUCGCAGGCGUUUAGUGGUAUCAGCUCAGCGCCGAAGUUGCCGCGCCGAUGGGAACGUCCUGAUAGGAAAGCUCUGAGAAGUGUGGGACUGAAGAAACGUUGAGGACCUUUGCACUGUGCCAGGGGCCUCAAAGGUUAUAAGAGGAUGUGAUUUGUGUUCAUGGGGCUUGAGAACAGUGUAAAACAGUACGUAGGUCCAAGCCUAAAUCCAUAAGCAGUGCCUCGCUUUACGACAUAGGUGGAUGCUAACCAAGAUCGUAUAGUUUUAAAGCUGGAACUGAAUUCAUUAUCUUCCCCAACUUCCACCCCGCUUCUUCGUUCAGUAAAUGCACCAGCAUCAGAGAAUGUGUUUGGACCCUGAGAUCUGCCCAGAGCCUAUGGAGUAGAGGAGAAGAUCACUAAACCAAUGGCUUUCACGCUUCUGUGACUAUGACCAGUGAGCAUGGCAAACCUGCCAGAGUAAUUGAAAUGCAAAGAGAAGAGGUGUUGUCUGGAAGAAUAAGCCAUCUGACUGGAGAGAAGAGCAAAAGAGGAAAUCGUAGAAGGACCCCAUUGUCAUGAUAACAGUUGCUUCAGUUUUCCUCCAGGACUAAUGCACCAGGAUCAGAGAGAUGAGAAUUCUCAGAAACAGUCAGGGGAUCACCCAUCUGAAAGAGGAGACAUGCUACUUACCCCGAUGGAGCAGUGGUUUGUGCAGUGGGCCUCACUCACAUAACUGAAGAUCCCCCAGUAGAGAAAAAGGACCGGGAGAAAAGGCCCUAUCACAAAAGAGGAGGAAUUGACAAGAUUGGUGGAGAAAAGGAGGGGUCCUUUUUAAAGCUUCAUGUCGAUAUAAAUAUGAAAAUGGAUUAAACUCUACUUCCAAUUUCCAAACAUGUGUACUUCAGUGAAUAUUAAAUGGCAGGCCCCUAUCACCAUUCUGACUUAUUUACUCACCAGAGUUUUUAUCAAAAAGGGACUGGAAUUGCCUGUGGAACAUUAAAGUCUCCUGUAAUUGAGUUUAGAGUGGUAAAUCCACUAAACAGGCCACGGCCCCAGAGACACCCCGAAACCCACCUGUCAGCUGGUGUUAGAUCACAGCGCAAACAAGGCAUGGCUGCCAGCUCCUGCUAAACACUGCUGUGGCCCAAAACAAAAAAGAGAGAGAGAGAGAGAGAGAGAGAAGUUACUCCCCAGGGGAUAAGGAAGGGCUGGGGACAAACUGUGGGGGUUGGGAGGGCAGGCGAGAAACUCUCAUCUAACAGCUGCCCUAUGUCAACUGGAAUCAUGAUCUGAAACUCAGCUCAGGGGGGGCACUGGCUAGGGCCUCAUUCGGUAAGGUGUCAUUUCUUUAUCCUAACGUCCAUUAGGUAGGAGCGUAAUGGAGUGGACAAGAAGCUUUUUCAUCGUGGUUGAGCCAUGGAAAUCAGAGCUCAGAGAGUUUCAGUGAGAAUAAAGGUAUAACAGGCUUAAGACUGGUGCAGAAAGGUCCACAUCUGGAAUGGAGGGAAGUGUCCAACUAAGACGUGUUGAACCACACAGGGAUGGGAAUAGGAGCAAUGCAAGCUGGAGAACCAUAAUUCAUCCAAUAAACAUUAAUUGUUUAUUAGUGCCAGUUGCUCAAUGUAUAAAGAAUAAUAAGCCAUAAUCCUUGCCCUGAAGGAAAAUGUAAAAUGUGCUUGGGGAAACACACAGACAAGUCAGCUAUUGCAAUACAGUGCAUCAAGGGCUUUGGGAGCAAAAGUAUGUGCCUAAAAUAAUAAGUUAGGGACAGGCCUACCAAGGGAGAAAGAGAAAUCAAAUGAUCAAGGGCUUUAUCAGCCUGGCUAAUCAGUCUGAAGUUUAUCCUGAAAGCCAUGGGGAACAAUGGAAGGAUUUUAAGCAGAGGAGUGAUGUGGUCAGGUUUGUGUUUUAGAAAGACCAGUUUACCUAUUGUGCAUAGCAUGAAUUAGAAGGGGCAAGGCUGGAAACAGGAAGGCCAAAUGGAAGGCAAUUAAUUACAGGAGUCUUUGAGAGAGGGGGUGAUGGCCCAAACCAAGGAAGUCACAGUGGAGUUGGAGAAGAGGGGACAGAAUGAGAAAUAUUAUAGAAAAGAAUCAGCAGGGCUUGGAAGGCAAUUGAAAGUGGGAAAAAGAAGGGGAGGGGUCCCCGGGUGGCUCAGUCGUUGAGCGUCUGCC